Molecule: ribosomal RNA, 253 nt
Filed under: uncultured bacterium
Lineage: Bacteria
Description: partial 16S ribosomal RNA
Rfam family: Bacterial small subunit ribosomal RNA
Source: RNAcentral
UACAGAGACUGCAAGCGUUAUUCGGAUUCACUGGGCGUAAAGGGUGCGCAGGCGGCCAAGUGUGUUAGGCGUGAAAGCCUGAGGCUUAACCUCAGAAUUGCACCUAAAACUACAUGGCUAGAGCAUUGGAGAGGGUAGCGGAAUUCACGGUGUAGCAGUGAAAUGCGUAGAUAUCGUGAGGAACACCAGAGGCGAAGGCGGCUUCCUGGACAAUUGCUGACGCUCAGGCACGAAAGCGUGGGGAGCAAAAGGG